Molecule: long non-coding RNA, 2206 nt
Filed under: Salmo salar (Atlantic salmon)
Lineage: Eukaryota; Metazoa; Chordata; Actinopteri; Salmoniformes; Salmonidae
Description: lncRNA (ENSSSAG00000118516.1)
Source: RNAcentral
UCUUCAGACACUUUGUUAUGAGACUUGAAAUUGCGCUCAGGUGUAUCCUGUUUCCAUUGAUCAUCCUUGAUGUUUCUACAACUUGAUUGGAGUCCACCAGUGGUAAAUUAAAUUGAUUGGACAUGAUUUGGAAAGGCACACAACUGACUAUAAAAGGUCCCACGGUUGACACUGCAUGUCAGAGCAAAAACCAAGCCAUGAGGUCGAAGUAGAGCUCCGAGACAGGAUUCUGUCGAGGCACAGAUCUGGGGUACCAAAAAAUUUAUGCAGCAUUGAAAGUCCCCUUGAACAAAGUGCCCUCCAUCACUCUUUAAUGGAAUAAGUUUGGAACCACCAAGACUCUUCAUAGAGCUGGCCACCCGGACAAACUGAGCAAUUGGGGGAGAAGGGCCUUGGUCAGGGAGGUGACCAAGAACCCGAUGGUCACUCUGACAGAGCUCUAGAGUUCCUCUGUGGAGACGGGAGAACUUUCGAGAAGGACAACUAUCUCUGCAGCACUCCACCAAUCAGGUCUUUAUGGUAAAGUGGCCAGACGGAUGCCGCUCUUCAUUAAGAGGCACAUGACAGUCCGCUUGGAGUUUGUCAAAAGGCACCUAAAGACUCUCAGACCAUGAGAAACAAGAUUCUCUGGUCUGAUGAAACCAAGAUUGAACUCUUGGGCCUGAAUGCCAAGUCACACGUCUGGAGGAAACCUGGCAACAUCCCUAAGGUGAAACAUGGUGGUGGCUGCAUUGUGCUGUGAGGAUGUUUUUCAGUGGCAGGGACUGAGAGACUAGUCAGGAUCGAGGGAAAGAUGAACGGUGCAAAGUACAGAGAGAUCCUUGAUGAAAACCUGCUCCAGAGCGCUCAGGACCUCAGACUGGGGCGAAGGUUCACUUUCUAAAAGGACAACGACCCUAAGCACACAGUCAAGACAACGCAGGAGUGGCUUCGGGACAAGUCUUUGAUUGGCCCAGCUCUCUGGAGUGACCUGAAAAUAUCUGUGCAGCAACGCUCCCCAUCCAACCUGACAGAGUUUGAGAGGAUCUGCAGAGAAGAAUGGGAGAAACUCCCCAAAUACAGCUAGACAAGAUGAACACUAUGGGGUAUUUCCUGAUGAUGCUUAUAGAUUGGAAGACCAAGGCCAAAAAAGCCAAUCUAUAAAGCAGACUGGCAUGCCCCAAAGGAUCUCGUUUGGUCUCGGCGUCAUCUGACUUGGAGAGUUGUGGACAAAGCCUAUUAAUAUUUGGUUCUCAGUUUCUCAACAACAGCAGCCGAGAGAGAGGAACAAGAGAGCGGCAAAUGAGGUGGAAAACAGACACCUCGACGGAGUGGAUGGAGAGAGAAACAACAGACAAACAGCAUAGGGAGAGAGAGAGUCUGUCUGAAAGUGAUGACAUCUCUUUUCAUCCUUUUAAUCUUGUUGUUCAACAACCAGCUCUUCCUGUCCUCUUCCCCCUUCAGGGCAGCUAGCCUGGCCUCCUCUUCCUCAGUGUAGUUAUUCUGGCAUCUUCUUCCUCAGUGCAGCUAGCCUGGCCUCCUCUUCCCCCUUCAGGGCAGCUAGCCUGGCCUCCUCUUCCUCCCUCAGGGCAGCUAGCCUGGCCUCCUCUUCCUCCCUCAGGGCAGCUAGCCUGGCCUCCUCUUCCUCAGUGUAGUUAUUCUGGCAUCUUCUUCCUCAGUGCAGCUAGCCUGGCCUCCUCUUCCUCCCUCAGGGCAGCUAGCCUGGCCUCCUCUUCCUCCCUCAGUGUAGUUAUCCUGGCCUCCUCUUCCUCCCUCAGUGCAGCUAGCCUGGCCUCCUCUUCCUCCCUCAGUGUAGUUAUCCUGGCCUCCUCUUCCUCAGUGUAGUUAUCCUGGCAUCUUCUUCCUCAGUGUAGUUAUCCUUGCCUCCUCUUCCUCCCUCAGUGCAGCUAGCCUGGCCUCCUCUUCCUCAGUAUAGUUAUCCUGGCCUCCUCUUCCUCCCUCAGAGUAGUUAUCCUGGCCUCCUCUUCCUCCCUCAGGGCAGCUAGCCUGGCCCUCUCCUCUUCCUCCCUCAGUGCAGCUAGCCUGGCCUCCUCUUCCUCCCUCAGUGCAGCUAGCCUGGCCUCCUCUUCCUCCCUCAGGGAAGCUAGCCUGGCCUCCUCUUCCUCCCUCAGGGCAGCUGGCCUGGCCUCCUCUUCCUCCCUCAGGGCAGCUAGCCUGGCCUCCUCUUCCUCCCUCAGGGCAGCUAGCCUGGCCUCCUCUUCCUCCC